AUUCUGUUUCGGACCUUAAUUGCCAGCCGCCAGCCGGCAAUGAGACGACAGCGUCACUCACACUCAUUUGGCCAUAAAGUGAUGGUUUUAUGGUCCAGACAGCACCACAAAUCGCGUCCGACUCACGGUGGUGACUCUUAAAGGUUGUGCGAUCAUAAAUAAUUCCUUCAUGCAUCUUGCAUUGUCCUGCGUAUCUCUGGAGUUGAAGGGGGGUGUCAGGAUUGAUGAACUUUAAAUGUACAUAUUUUACGAAGAUUUGAUGAUCAGCUAAUUGUUUUCACAUAUUAUGAAAGGAUAAAACGAAGGCUUUAAAAUAUUGGAUUGUAGCUAAAAGUUUUCUGUAGUAUCUCUACAGUCAUACUCAAAUGAGUAAUCUAAAUCCUUUUUAAACUGCGAAAGGGUAAAAAAAGUCAAAAUAGAAC
Molecule: long non-coding RNA, 422 nt
Filed under: Drosophila guanche
Lineage: Eukaryota; Metazoa; Arthropoda; Insecta; Diptera; Drosophilidae
Source: RNAcentral